AGCGAACGCUGGCGGCAGGCCUAACACAUGCAAGUCGAACGAACUCUUCGGAGUUAGUGGCGGACGGGUGAGUAACACGUGGGAACGUGCCUUUAGGUUCGGAAUAACUCAGGGAAACUUGUGCUAAUACCGAAUGUGCCCUUCGGGGGAAAGAUUUAUCGCCUUUAGAGCGGCCCGCGUCUGAUUAGCUAGUUGGUGAGGUAAAGGCGCACCAAGGCGACGAUCAGUAGCUGGUCUGAGAGGAUGAUCAGCCACAUUGGGACUGAGACACGGCCCAAACUCCUACGGGAGGCAGCAGUGGGGAAUUUUGCGCAAUGGGCGAAAGCCUGACGCAGCCAUGCCGCGUGAAUGAUGAAGGUCGUAGGAUUGUAAAAUUCUUUCACCGGGGACGAUAAUGACGGUACCCGGAGAAGAAGCCCCGGCUAACUUCGUGCCAGCCGCCGCAGUAA
This 449-nucleotide ribosomal RNA is filed under the name uncultured bacterium. RNAcentral's name for it is "partial 16S ribosomal RNA". It matches the Rfam family "Bacterial small subunit ribosomal RNA", at positions 29 to 523 of the family's 1533-position model. The record is from RNAcentral.